GCACCUUUGGCUUAGUGGUUAGAGCGUCCGUCAUGGAUGCGAGAGGUCGUGGGUUCGAUUCCCGGUCGACUUAUACC
Molecule: non-coding RNA, 77 nt
Organism: Potamilus streckersoni
Lineage: Eukaryota; Metazoa; Mollusca; Bivalvia; Unionida; Unionidae
Source: the annotation of a GenBank genome assembly